CAGGAGGUAGUUUAAUUAGAAUGAUAGCUUUGGGAGUUUUUGAUGCGAGUUUAAGUCUUGUCUUUCUGA
This 69-nucleotide transfer RNA is filed under the name Myxoderma platyacanthum. RNAcentral's name for it is "tRNA-Pro". It matches the Rfam family "tRNA". Rfam says of the family: Transfer RNA (tRNA) molecules are approximately 80 nucleotides in length. Their secondary structure includes four short double-helical elements and three loops (D, anti-codon, and T loops). Lineage: Eukaryota; Metazoa; Echinodermata; Asteroidea; Forcipulatida; Zoroasteridae. The record is from RNAcentral.